UUCCUUCUCUUCUCUUUUUCUGUGAGUUUUUCUUUUAAUUCUUCACCACCCGACUCCCCUUUCAGACACCAUUUUUAAUGUUUUUAUUCUUUUCUUUAUCAGGUUAAUCCUCGAGAUGUAAAUGGUCGAACACCGCUGCACUGGGCCUGUUAUCGGGGACACUUGCACACUGUCAAUCUUUUGUUGGGUCACAAUGGCAUCGAUGCCAAUGUGGUUGCCAACGAUGGAGACACACCACUGCAUUGGGCAGUUCAGGAGCGAAACAAUGAAUUGGUGUCUGUGAUGCUGAACAAGGGUUCUGUUCAGUUGGAUAUUCAAAACAAUCAGAAAAGGACACCAUUGCUUGAAGCCGUUUCCCAGGGUCACCUCGGAAUGACACACUGUUAAUAGCCCUGGGUGCAGACAUAAAUGCUGUUGAUGGUGAAGGUAACAGCUGUUUGCACCUAGCCAUGGCAACAGAAGUGUUUAAUUCCGAGGA
Molecule: long non-coding RNA, 478 nt
Organism: Octopus sinensis (East Asian common octopus)
Lineage: Eukaryota; Metazoa; Mollusca; Cephalopoda; Octopoda; Octopodidae
Exons: 3
Source: RefSeq, a predicted model, not a curated record